RNAcentral lists this ribosomal RNA (420 nucleotides) under Clostridioides difficile. RNAcentral's name for it is "partial 23S ribosomal RNA". It matches the Rfam family "Bacterial large subunit ribosomal RNA", at positions 1195 to 1618 of the family's 2925-position model. The record is from RNAcentral. Lineage: Bacteria; Bacillati; Bacillota; Clostridia; Peptostreptococcales; Peptostreptococcaceae.
CGAAGCUACGGCAUCAGUAAUGAUGGGUAGGGGAGCUUCCCAUACGGGUUGAAGCAUGACCGUAAGGACAUGUGGACAGUAUGGGAGUGAGAAUGUUGGCAUGAGUAGCGAGAUGUGGGUGAGAAUCCCACAGGCCGUAAACCCAAGGUUUCCAGGGGAAGGUUCGUCCGCCCUGGGUUAGUCGGGACCUAAGCUGAGGCCGAAAGGCGUAGGUGAUGGACAACAGGUUGAUAUUCCUGUACUACCGAUAACCGUUUGAGAGAAGGGAUGACACAGUAGGAUAAGCUAAGCACACUGUUGGUUAUGUGUGCCCAAGCAUUGAGGCAGUCAAAGUAGGCAAAUCCGCUUUGAUAAUGCUGGGAUGUGAUGGGGAGCGAAAUUUAGUAGCGAAGUAGCUGAUUUCACACUGUCAAGAAAAGU